GUCCACGCCCUAAACGAUGCGAACUGGAUGUUGGGCUCAACUCGGAGCUCAGUAUCGAAGCUAACGCGUUAAGUUCGCCGCCUGGGGAGUACGGUCGCAAGACUGAAACUCAAAGGAAUUGACGGGGGCCCCGCACAAGCGGUGGAGUAUGUGGUUUAAUUCGAUGCAACGCGCAGAACCUUACCUGGCCUUGACAUGCACGGAAUCCUUUAGAGAUAGAGGAGUGCCUUCGGGAACCGUGACACAGGUGCUGCAUGGCUGUCGU
RNAcentral lists this ribosomal RNA (265 nucleotides) under uncultured bacterium. RNAcentral's name for it is "partial 16S ribosomal RNA". It matches the Rfam family "Bacterial small subunit ribosomal RNA", at positions 793 to 1055 of the family's 1533-position model. The record is from RNAcentral.